CAAUAGCGUAUAUUAAAGUUGUUGCGGUUAAAAAGCUCGUAGUUGGAUCUCGGCAGGCAGGGGGUGGUUCGCUCUUAGCGCUACUGCCCCAUUUGCCUGUGUGAUUGGCGGAGGUUUCGGGGUGCUCUUCGUUGAGUGACCCGGGGCGCCGUCAGGUUUACUUUGAAAAAAUUAGAGUGCUCAAAGCAGGCUUUUCACGCUUGAAUAUUCGUGCAUGGAAUAACGGAAUAGGAACUCGUUUCUAUUUUGUUGGUUUUCGGAAAUCGAGUUAAUGAUUAAUAGGGACAAUUGGGGGCAUUAGUAUUCAGACGACAGAGGUGAAAUUCUUGGACCGUCUGAAGACUAACUACUGCGAAAGCAUUUGCCAAGAGUGUUUUCAUUAA
Molecule: ribosomal RNA, 383 nt
Filed under: uncultured eukaryote
Lineage: Eukaryota
Description: partial 18S ribosomal RNA
Rfam family: Eukaryotic small subunit ribosomal RNA
Source: RNAcentral